Molecule: long non-coding RNA, 1013 nt
Organism: Meleagris gallopavo (turkey)
Lineage: Eukaryota; Metazoa; Chordata; Aves; Galliformes; Phasianidae
Source: RefSeq, a predicted model, not a curated record
GGCUGUAUGUAGGCCAGCAGAAGGCCACUGGCAUCAGGCAUGGGAGCUGUUUGCGGGCAGGAAGCACGGAGCUGGGAGCCAAGCACAGCAGGGCACUCACAGCCUGCAGCCCUGUGACUCCUCAGAGCAAAGGUACAGCUCUACUCCUCAUUUGCACAAACAAAGCUAAUUGCACGUGGUCUAUCAGGAAGGGUACGGUUAGAAGUGCUGGUGAUAACGGCACCAGAAGCAGCAUGUGGGAGCCUCCGGGCACUGAGCUUGUGCCAGGGAUCCUGGUAUACUGCCAGCUCCAACUGCCACGUUGUGCAGGCCAGCGGCCGAGGCACGUCUGCGCGUUUUGCCAAGAGCAGAGCGUUGCUCAGAGCGGGAUGCAGGUGGCAGCAGCACAGCACGGCCUCUGCUCCGGGCAUCAUCUGAAUGACGGCUGCCGCUGCCAAAGCACUCAGCGCUGCCGUGCGUGCCUUUUCAGUCUUCUUCCUUUCCUAAAUACACGUGCUGACUCUUACCUUUGUUCUGCUAAUCACCAGCGCCCGGAGCGGUUGGGGGAAAAGAUUCCCUUCCCUCGAGCAGAAGUGCCUGGGGCUGAUGGUGUAAUAACUCAUGCAGUGCCAGGAGGAAUUCAUUUUGGAGCAAAAAGUUAUCUGUCGGAAUUCCUGAAUGUAUUUAAGAAAGCCUGAAAUGUCGGUAAGUGGAGCCCGGAGGAAAGGAUGCCACGUCCCCUCCCCUACAGACUGUCCUGGGAGAUGCACCCUGCCUAAAAAUGCCCCUUCUAACCUGGGGGGGACUUGGACACUCGGAUACUCGGCACAGCAUCGGUGUUGAACACAUUCCCUCCCGCGUUGUCUUUGCCCUCUCGUUGCUGGGAAGCGGCUCAGAUCUGCCGACGCAGCAAAGCCCAUCUCGCUCGCCUUUCCUCGGAGCCCCGAGCACCGCAGUGCCGCUCCGGACAGCCGCCCCGCAGCCCGGCUCCCAACUCCCGGCUCUCUGCGGCCAGCAGGGGGCGGCAGCGGCGU